Sapajus apella (tufted capuchin) is the source of this 4397-nucleotide long non-coding RNA. RefSeq lists it as uncharacterized. The record is from RefSeq and is a predicted model, not a curated record. NCBI's taxonomy places the organism in Eukaryota, Metazoa, Chordata, Mammalia, Primates, Cebidae. The transcript is spliced from 3 exons.
AUUGCACAGGCCGGUCUUGAACUGUUGAGCUCAAGUGAUCUGCCUGCCUCAGCCUUCCAGAGUGCUAGGAUUACAGGUGUGAGCCACUGCACCCAGCUCACCCAGCAUUUUUACUUUUGGAGUUUAUAAUAUACUGUGUACAUGUGGAAUUUAACCUAUAGAUAUACUUGCAUAUGUGCAAAAUAGUAUACAAAAUUAACCAUGGAAGCAUUGUUUUUUACAGCAGAAAAUUAAAAUAGCUUAUAUGUCCAUCCAUAGACAAACUGUCAAAUAAAUUAGUGUAUAUCCAGAUAAUGAAAUCCUACAUAGAAUGAGGAAGGUCUGCCUGUACUGGUAUGGAAAGAUCUCCAAGACACACAUUUGUUUUAAAAAAAAUCAAAGUGCAGAGCGGUGUGUAGCAUACUACAAUGUGUGUUUUUGAAAAAAUAAAGGCAGGAUGAGAAUUGCUUGAAUGUAAAAAAAAUCCUCUGGAAUCCUAUAUUAGUUAUUCCUUCCCACUAAUGUCUAAACUGACCUAAAAAUAAAAAACUUUUGUUCCUCCCUCUCCCCCUCCUUCCUUCUCUUUCUCCUCCUCCCAUCCUUCACCCCACACGAAGGCAUUCAUUGAAAAGGGUUCCCUUCCUCACUGGAAUAAACCUGCCACUCAGCCUCAAGGCUGCUUCCAGAGAUGUCUUCAAGUAACAAGGAGACUGUGACAGGUGCAAAAAAAAACAAAAAAAAAACCACAGUCACAAUGUCAGGAUAACUUUCCAGACUCCAAGUUCCAGUGAGGCUAAACUAAAAGAGGACAGUGAUGUGACUUCUUGGUCAGAAGUAAAAUUUGAAGCAAAAACGCUCUUUAACAGUUUCCUGGGAGCAAAAGUUAAAAAGGAACAAACAGAAUUCCCGUGAAGGAGUUUCCUGGUUUGUUCCUGUGGAAAAUGUGGAGUUUGGAUCAAAGAAGGAAAACGUGCCCAAGAUGUGUGGCCCUGGUGUCUCCUGGUUUGAACCAUUAACCAAGACCAAGCCCUGGAGGGAGCCACUGCGGGAGCAGAACUGGCAGGGGCAGCACCUGGACGGUUGGGGCUCCCUGGCAGGCCCAGGCAGAGAGGAUGGCAGAGAUGCACUGAAGCCAUUUGUAAGAGCACCCCUGCAGGUGCAGUGACACUGACUUAACUUUAGCCCUACGUGUAGGGAGAAGAAGGGCAAGGCACAGGGAACCUCCUUCUGUGACUUGGCGAGCUGAGGUGUAGGCCUGAGACCCUCUUUUCCAGCACCUCUAUGGUUCACCUAUUUUCAUGCAUGAGAGCUGUGUUUCUCAUCAUUCAUCAAAGGCUGCCUUACUCUUAACCAUUCUAGAUGGUGCAACAGCUGACUCAGGAUCUGGGAUCAAGGUCACAGGAGGGAGGAUUUGCAGCUCUGCUCAUCAGGUUUGUGGGUCCCUGUGUGUGGAGGUCCAGAGGCCUGAGGCUUGUGUGGCCUCAUGCAUAUUCCUCCAAUUCCACAACUCCUAUUGCUGCUCCAUGCGGGAUUUAAAGGAAACCAAGUAUCUUCUUAUAUUUCCCUUGGGGGAUAAAAGAAAUGUUACUUAAUGAUGUAUUUGUUUGAGUAGGUCUUUAAAAUAACACCAUGGGCAAAGCUGUAUCAUAUUGACAUUUGGGAGAGUAAUUGCCACAGUCUUCGCGUAACCACCCAAGGGGUUCACCUUGCCCGCUGCCUAGACAGAGCCAAUUCAUCAAGACAGAGGAAUUGCAAUAGAGAAAGAGUAAUUCACACAGAGCUGCCCAUGCAGGAGACUGGAGUUUUAUUAUUACUCAAAUCAGUCUCCCCCAGCAUUCGGGGAACAGAGUUUUUAAGGAUAACUUGAUGGGUGGAAGCCAGUGAGCCAGGAGUGCUGACUGGUCAAGGAUGAAUUCAUAGUGAGUCGAAGCUGACUUCUUGUGCUGAGACAGUUCCUGGGUGGGGGCCACAAGAUCAGAUGAGCCAGUUUAUUGAUCUGGGUGGUGCCAGCUGAUCCAUCAAAUGCAGGGUCUGAGAAAUAUCUCAAGCACUGAUCUUAGGAGAAGUUUAGGGAAGGUCAGAAUCUCAUAGCCUCCAGCUGCAUGACUCCUAAAUCACAAUUUCUAAUAUUGUGGCUAAUGUUAGUCCUACAAAGGCAGUCUAGUCCCCAUGCAAGAAGGAGGUCUGCUUUAGGAAAGGGCUGUUACUGUCUUUGUUUAAACUAUAAACUAUAAGCUAAGUUUUUACCAAAGUUAAUUCAGCCUAUGCCCAGGAAUGAACAAGGACAGCUUGGAGGUUAGAAACAAGAUGGAGUCAGUUAAGUUAGAUCUCUUUCACUGUCUCAGUCAUAAUUUUGCAAAGGUGGUUUUAUUAGUUCCUUGCAUAUGCUGAAGGCAUGUCUUUGAUCCCUAUGUGUUCCCUGCUGGAGCUCUCCCCCACAGAGAGGGGUCUGAGGAUUCUUCAACUCUAGGCAUUUUCUCAGUAUUUGAAUCAGGCUUUUCCAAAUCGCUUGGACAGGUGGUGUUUUUCUAGGCAUCUGGAGAGUAGGCUGUAUCAUUAAUGUGAGGUCCAGCCUUUUUCUCCUCCUCAGGAAUCACUUCAGCUUCACAGACCUGCCUUCAUCUCCUGCCCUGGGGAGCAGAUAAAGCGCCAGAAGUUAAUAGUCCAGGAGAGGAAGCUGCAGAGCAUGUUGCAGAGAGAUAAUCAACUAAGAGCCAGGCACCCUUUUAAGUCCGUUGAGUAACAUUUUAUAACCUGCUCUCUCUGAAGUCUGCUCUCUGAGACACAGAAACAUUCCAAGCCUGUGGUAAGUUCUCUCACCCUAAAACCCUUAAAUACCCUCAGUCUGUAAGGGAGAGUGCUCCUGACCAAAAUUGGUCAAAGCUUCUCUCAGCUUUAUUCUUCAACAUACACCUGUCUUUGAUGGUUGAGCCACUUUUCAUGUUUCUUUCCUCUUUUUUUAACUCUUACACUUGGUGCCAAAACCUGGGAUGGGUGUUGUGGGUAGAGGCUGUCUUGCAACCCAGGAGGCAGUGGGCAGCAGCAGCUCAUCCUGCUGGAUCCUGAGUGUCUGGCCACUCACUACCCCAUGUUGUCUCUCACUUCAUUUUUCAAGCAAUUUGCAUGAGGAGGACAACUAACCUGAAGGGGACUGCAAGGCUUGGGCUGGGGCUACUCCCCAGGAGGUUCUCAAAACCCUCAGGUCUCAGGAAUCCAUCUCCAACCACCCACAAUGGGGAGUAUUUUGCUCUCUAACCCUUGUCCCCUCCUCCUCCCUCAUCCUCCCUUCUCUCUCUGUCUUCCUCGUGUGGCUCCCAUCCAAAAGGCCCUUUGCCAAUUCCAACUGAACAUCCAACAUCAGACAUUAAUCCAGCCAACUGGUAAGAUCUGCCCUUCCCUGACCUUCUUGCAGUACCCAGGAAAGUCAGGUCUGACAUCCCAGUUCUCGGAGGACCAAUGGGACUAAGCUAGAAGAAAUCUUGGGGACACCCAGUUUCUUCUCAGCUUGACCAUCCUCUUCAUGAAAAGGAUUCUAGGUCUCUGUCUUUUGUCUGGAAAUGCCUAGAACAAAACAGACACCCUUGGUUUUCUCUUACCAGUCCACAUGAGUGCCAGACAGUCCCAGAUUCCUACUGGCCUGUCUCUUUCACAACCUCACCAAACUUGGCUUAUGGGAAGCAUAAAGCCAAAGUGUUUUUGUUUUUUUUUUUUUUUUUUUUAAUUGAAACAUGGUCUGGCCCCAACAUAAAUUAGAUAAUGACAAGCAAUGGCCCACAAAUGACGCCUUUGACUUUCAGAUUCUCAGGGAACUUGAUAACUUUAUAACCAGGAAUGGCAAAUGGUGAGAGCUUCUUUAUAUUCAGGCUUUCUUCUACCUUAGAUCCUGACCCUUCCUGUGUCAAGCUUGCACCCCGUCAUGAAUCCUUCUUAUUAAUGAAAAUCCUCCCGGGUCUCUCCUUCCUCCAAAACUCCUUCCUUCUAAACCCCUUCCUCCGAAACCCCUUUUGACCCUACAGGUGAACCCUGUCCAUAUUCUCAUCCCCCUGCAUCCGCUCCUUGCCUGGCCAAACCUUCAGCCCUGGUGGCCCCUCCUGCCCCCAAGCGUUCUGCCCUAAACCCUGCUCCUCCUCCAUUUCCACUUGUUAGCCAUUCAAAAACUACUCUAACCAGUCAAAUCACCUCUGCCAUUCUCCCUCUCCAGGAAGUGGCUGGGGUUGAAGGCAUUGCUCGAGUUCUUGUCCCUUUCUCCAUGUCUGAUUUGUCACAAAUCAAACAGCAUCUGGAUCUUUCUCUGAAGAUCCAUCUCAUUGUCGCAGGGAAUUCAUACACAUAACCCAGUCCUUUAAUUUAACUUGGCAUGAUAUUCAUAUAAUUCUAGCCUCCACUCUCACCCCUGAUAAAAAGCACCCAGCUUAAUU